CUGCCCAGCCAGAAACGGUCUGGGUAUGUUUUGGAGUUGUUUGAGCCAUUGAGUUAAGAUUCUGAGAUAGAAGAAGAGAGGAGUAAAACUUGAAGUGACUUGACUCUUAGCCUGCCAUAGAAUUUAUAGUGGUUAGUUGGGACAGGUUGUUGUGUAUACGUUGUUAAAUUUUAGCGAAAGCAGCCACGAAGAUCCCACGAAAG
Molecule: unclassified non-coding RNA, 203 nt
Filed under: Hevea brasiliensis (rubber tree)
Lineage: Eukaryota; Viridiplantae; Streptophyta; Magnoliopsida; Malpighiales; Euphorbiaceae
Source: RNAcentral